GCUGGGUGUGGUGGUGCACACCUGUAAUCCCAGCUACUCAGGAGGCUGAGGCAGGAGAAUCGCUUGAACCUAGGAGGCAGAGGUUGCAGUGAGCCGAGAUUGCACCACUGCACUCCAGCCUGGGUGACAGAGUGAGACUCUGUCUCAA
RNAcentral lists this small RNA (148 nucleotides) under Macaca mulatta (Rhesus monkey). RNAcentral describes it as "Metazoan signal recognition particle RNA (ENSMMUG00000058248.1)". It matches the Rfam family "Metazoan signal recognition particle RNA". From Rfam's summary of the family: The signal recognition particle (SRP) is a universally conserved ribonucleoprotein. The record is from Rfam by way of RNAcentral. RNAcentral also lists the same sequence under 1 other name. Lineage: Eukaryota; Metazoa; Chordata; Mammalia; Primates; Cercopithecidae.